UACAGAGGGUGCAAGCGUUGUUCGGAAUUAUUGGGCGUAAAGAGCGCGUAGGCGGUCUGCUAAGUCUGGUGUGAAAGCCCUCGGCUUAACCGGGGAAGUGCAUUGGAUACUGGUAGGCUUGAGUAUGAGAGAGGAUUGUGGAAUUCCUGGUGUAGCGGUGAAAUGCGUAGAUAUCAGGAGGAACACCGGUGGCGAAGGCGGCAAUCUGGAUCAUAACUGACGCUGAGGCGCGAAAGCGUGGGUAGCAAACAGG
This 253-nucleotide ribosomal RNA is filed under the name uncultured bacterium. RNAcentral's name for it is "partial 16S ribosomal RNA". It matches the Rfam family "Bacterial small subunit ribosomal RNA", at positions 524 to 776 of the family's 1533-position model. The record is from RNAcentral.